GGGGGUGUAGCUCAGUUGGUAGAGCGCCUGCCUUGCACGCAGGAGGUCGCAGGUUCGAUCCCUGUCACCUCCACCA
This 76-nucleotide transfer RNA is filed under the name Candidatus Margulisiibacteriota bacterium. Its description in RNAcentral is "tRNA-Ala". It matches the Rfam family "tRNA". Rfam says of the family: Transfer RNA (tRNA) molecules are approximately 80 nucleotides in length. The record is from RNAcentral. Lineage: Bacteria; Bacillati; Candidatus Margulisiibacteriota.